This 514-nucleotide ribosomal RNA is filed under the name uncultured bacterium. Its description in RNAcentral is "partial 16S ribosomal RNA". It matches the Rfam family "Bacterial small subunit ribosomal RNA", at positions 28 to 523 of the family's 1533-position model. The record is from RNAcentral.
GAUGAACGCUGGCGGCGUGCCUAAUACAUGCAAGUCGAGCGAAUGGAUUAAGAGCUUGCUCUUAUGAAGUUAGCGGCGGACGGGUGAGUAACACGUGGGUAACCUGCCCAUAAGACUGGGAUAACUCCGGGAAACCGGGGCUAAUACCGGAUAACAUUUUGAACCGCAUGGUUCGAAAUUGAAAGGCGGCUUCGGCUGUCACUUAUGGAUGGACCCGCGUCGCAUUAGCUAGUUGGUGAGGUAACGGCUCACCAAGGCAACGAUGCGUAGCCGACCUGAGAGGUUGACCGGCCACACUGGGACUGAGACACGGCCCAGACUCCUACGGGAGGCAGCAGUAGGGAAUCUUCCACAAUGGACGAAAGUCUGAUGGAGCAACGCCGCGUGAGCGAUGAAGGCCUUCGGGUCGUAAAGCUCUGUUGUUAGGGAAGAACAAGUAUUGGAGUAACUGCCGGUACCUUGACGGUACCUAACCAGAAAGCCACGGCUAACUACGUGCCAGCCGCCGCCGUAA